This 498-nucleotide ribosomal RNA is filed under the name uncultured Glomeromycotina. Its description in RNAcentral is "partial small subunit ribosomal RNA". It matches the Rfam family "Eukaryotic small subunit ribosomal RNA", at positions 591 to 1092 of the family's 1831-position model. The record is from RNAcentral. Lineage: Eukaryota; Fungi; Glomeromycota.
CCAAUAGCGUAUAUUAAAGUUGUUGCAGUUAAAAAGCUCGUAGUUGAAUUUCGGGAUUAGUACGCUGGUCGUGCCUUCGGUAUGUACUGGUGUUACUGGUUCCUACCUUCUGACGAAUCGUCAUGUCAUUAAUUUGGUGUGGCGGGGAAUCAGGACUGUUACUUUGAAAAAAUUAGAGUGUUUAAAGCAGGCUCGCGCUUGAAUACAUUAGCAUGGAAUAAUGACAUAGGACGUUCGAUCCUAUUUUGUUGGUUUCUAGGAUUGACGUAAUGAUUAAUAGGGAUAGUUGGGGGCAUUAGUAUUCAAUUGUCAGAGGUGAAAUUCUUGGAUUUAUUGAAGACUAACUACUGCGAAAGCAUUUGCCAAGGAUGUUUUCAUUAAUCAAGAACGAAAGUUAGGGGAUCGAAGACGAUCAGAUACCGUCGUAGUCUUAACCAUAAACUAUGCCGACUAGGGAUCGGAUGAUGUUAUUUUUAAUGACUCAUUCGGCGCCUUACG